RNAcentral lists this ribosomal RNA (293 nucleotides) under uncultured bacterium. RNAcentral's name for it is "partial 16S ribosomal RNA". The record is from RNAcentral.
GGACUACACGGGUAUCUAAUCCUGUUCGCUCCCCACGCUUUCGUGUCUCAGUGUCAAGGGUGGCCCAGCAAGCUGCCUUCGCCAUUGGUGUUCCUACCGAUCUCUACGCAUUUCACUGCUACACCGGUAAUUCCACUUGCCUCUGCCAUCUUCUAGACUUGCAGUCUGAGAAACAGUCCAGACGGUUGAGCCGCCGGAUUUCGCCUCUCACUUACAAAUCCACCUACACACGCUUUACGCCCAGUGAUUCCGGAUAACGCUUGAACCCUACGUAUUACCGCGGCUGCUGGCAC